RNAcentral lists this ribosomal RNA (546 nucleotides) under uncultured bacterium. RNAcentral's name for it is "bacterial SSU rRNA". It matches the Rfam family "Bacterial small subunit ribosomal RNA", at positions 775 to 1319 of the family's 1533-position model. The record is from RNAcentral.
AGUCAAUAGAUACCCGGGUAGUCCACGCCGUAAACGAUGAAUACUAGGUGUAGGAGGUAUCGACUCCUUCUGUGCCGCAGUUAAACACAAUAAGUAUUCCGCCUGGGGAGUACGGUCGCAAGAUUAAAACUCAAAGGAAUUGACGGGGGCCCGCACAAGCAGCGGAGCAUGUGGUUUAAUUCGAAGCAACGCGAAGAACCUUACCCAGACUUGACAUCUCCUGAAUUAAUCGUAAUUGAUGAAAUCCCUUCGGGGACAGGAAGACAGGUGGUGCAUGGUUGUCGUCAGCUCGUGUCGUGAGAUGUUGGGUUAAGUCCCGCAACGAGCGCAACCCUUAUCAUUAGUUGCUAACAUUAAGUUGAGCACUCUAGUGAGACUGCCCGGGUUAACCGGGAGGAAGGUGGGGAUGACGUCAAAUCAUCAUGCCCCUUAUGUCUGGGGCUACACACGUGCUACAAUGGUGGGAACAAAGAGAUGCAAGACCGCGAGGUGGAGCCAAACUCAAAAACCCAUCCCAGUUCGGAUUGUAGGCUGAAACUCGCCUAC